CAGUAGCCGCGGUAAUACGAAGGGUGCGAGCGUUAAUCGGAAUUACUGGGCGUAAAGAGUGCGUAGGUGGUUAAUUAAGUUAUCUGUGAAAUUCCUGGGCUUAACCUGGGCAGGUCAGAUAAUACUGGUUAACUCGAGUAUGGGAGAGGGUAGUGGAAUUUCCGGUGUAGCGGUGAAAUGCGUAGAGAUCGGAAGGAACACCAGUGGCGAAGGCAGCUACCUGGCCUAAUACUGACACUGAGGCACGAAAGCGUGGGGAGCAAACAGGAUUAGAUACCCGCGUAGUCCCUGUCUCUUAUAC
Molecule: ribosomal RNA, 301 nt
Filed under: uncultured bacterium
Lineage: Bacteria
Description: partial 16S ribosomal RNA
Rfam family: Bacterial small subunit ribosomal RNA
Source: RNAcentral